UGGGGAAUCUUGCACAAUGGGCGAAAGCCUGAUGCAGCGACGCCGCGUGCGGGAUGAAGGCCUUCGGGUUGUAAACCGCUUUCAGCAGGGACGAGGCCGCAAGGUGACGGUACCUGCAGAAGAAGCCCCGGCUAACUACGUGCCAGCAGCCGCGGUAAUACGUAGGGGGCAAGCGUUAUCCGGAUUCAUUGGGCGUAAAGCGCGCGUAGGCGGUUUGUUAGGUCAGGAGUUAAAUCUGGGGGCUCAACCCCUAUCCGCUCCUGAUACCGGCAGGCUUGAGUCUGGUAGGGGAAGGCGGAAUUCCAAGUGUAGCGGUGAAAUGCGCAGAUAUCAGGAGGAACACCGGUGGCGAAGGCGGGUCUCUGGGCCGUUACUGACGCUGAGGAGCGAAAGCGUGGGGAGCGAACAGG
Molecule: ribosomal RNA, 410 nt
Filed under: Verrucomicrobiota bacterium
Lineage: Bacteria; Pseudomonadati; Verrucomicrobiota
Description: Verrucomicrobia bacterium partial 16S ribosomal RNA
Rfam family: Bacterial small subunit ribosomal RNA
Source: RNAcentral